ACGCUAGCGGGAGGCCUAAUACAUGCAAGUCGAACGGUAACAGGGCAGAACUUCGGUUCAGCCGCUGACGAGUGGCGCACGGGUGAGUAACGCGUACAUAACCUGCCUUCAAGAGAGGGAUAGCCCUGGGAAACUGGGAUUAAUACCUCAUGGUAUUGCUAAGUCGCAUGGCUGUGCAAUUAAAGUUUCGGCGCUUGAAGAUGGAUGUGCGUGCCAUUAGCUAGUUGGUAAGGUAACGGCUUACCAAGGCAACGAUGGCUAGGGGGCGUGAGAGCGUGACCCCCCACACGGGUACUGAGACACGGACCCGACUCCUACGGGAGGCAGCAGUAAGGAAUAUUGGACAAUGGAGGCAACUCUGAUCCAGCCAUCCCGCGUGCAGGAUGACUGCCCUACGGGUUGUAAACUGCUUUUAUUUGGGAAGAAACCUGUUUAUUUACUGAACAGUUGACGGUACCUUAUGAAUAAGCACCGGCUAACUCCGUGCCAGCAGCCGCGGUAAUACGGGGGGUGCGAGCGUUAUUCGGAAUCAUUGGGCGUAAAGGGCGCGCAGGCGGUUUUGUAAGUCAGAUGUGAAAUCCCGGGGCUUAACCCCGGAAGUGCAUAUGAAACUAUGUGACUUGAGUAUGGGAGAGGGAAGCGGAAUUCCUGGUGUAGCGGUGAAAUGCGUAGAUAUCAGGAGGAACACCGGUGGCGAAGGCGGCUUCCUGGACCAAUACUGACGCUGAGGCGCGAAGGCGUGGGGAGCGAACAGGAUUAGAUACCCUGGUAGUCCACGCAGUAAACGUUGAUCACUAGGUGUAGCGGGUAUUGACCCCUGCUGUGCCGGAGUUAACGCAUUAAGUGAUCCGCCUGGGGAGUACGAUCGCAAGAUUAAAACUCAGAGGAAUUGACGGGGGCCCGCACAAGCGGUGGAGCAUGUGGUUUAAUUCGACGCAACGCGAAGAACCUUACCUGGACUUGACAUCUCGGGAAUUCCGUUGAAGGACGGGAGUGCCUUUAACGAGGAAUCCGAUGACAGGUGCUGCAUGGCUGUCGUCAGCUCGUGUCGUGAGAUGUUGGGUUAAGUCCCGCAACGAGCGCAACCCCUAUCUUCAGUUACCAUCAGGUGAUGCUGGGGACUUUGGAGAUACUGCCCCGGUUAACGGGGAGGAAGGUGGGGAUGACGUCAAGUCCUCAUGGCCUUUAUGUCCAGGGCUACACACGUGCUACAAUGGUAUGUACAAAGGGAAGCGAUCCCGCGAGGAGGAGCUAAUCCCAAAAAGCAUAUCAAAGUUCGGAUCGGAGUCUGCAACUCGACUCCGUGAAGUUGGAAUCGCUAGUAAUCGCGGAUCAGCAUGCCGCGGUGAUACGUUCCCGGGCCUUGUACACACCGCCCGUCACACCAUGAGAGUUGGCUGUACCAGAAGUCGUUGGGCUAACCCGCAAGGGGGGUAGGCGCCUAAGGUAUGGUUGAUGAUUGGGGUGAAGUCG
Molecule: ribosomal RNA, 1473 nt
Filed under: uncultured organism
Description: bacterial SSU rRNA
Rfam family: Bacterial small subunit ribosomal RNA
Source: RNAcentral